Molecule: ribosomal RNA, 946 nt
Filed under: Auriscalpium vulgare
Lineage: Eukaryota; Fungi; Basidiomycota; Agaricomycetes; Russulales; Auriscalpiaceae
Description: LSU rRNA
Rfam family: Eukaryotic large subunit ribosomal RNA
Source: RNAcentral
GCAUAUCAAUAAGCGGAGGAAAAGAAACUAACAAGGAUUCCCCUAGUAACUGCGAGUGAAGCGGGAAAAAGCUCAAAUUUAAAAUCUGGCGGUCUCUGGCCGUCCGAGUUGUAGUCUGGAGAAGUGUUUUCCGCGCUGGACCGUGUACAAGUCUCCUGGAACGGAGCGUCAUAGAGGGUGAGAAUCCCGUCUUUGACACGGACUACCAGUGCUCUGUGAUGCGCUCUCAAAGAGUCGAGUUGUUUGGGAAUGCAGCUCAAAAUGGGUGGUGAAUUCCAUCUAAAGCUAAAUAUUGGCGAGAGACCGAUAGCGAACAAGUACCGUGAGGGAAAGAUGAAAAGCACUUUGGAAAGAGAGUUAAACAGUACGUGAAAUUGUUGAAAGGGAAACACUUGAAGUCAGUCGCGUUCCUCGAGACUCAGCCUUGCCUUCCGGCCUGGUGUACUUCUCGUUGAACGGGCCAGCAUCAAUUUUGAUCGUCGGAUAAAGGCGGGAGGAAGGUGGCACCCUUCGGGGUGUGUUAUAGCCUCUCGUCACAUACGACGGUUGGGAUUGAGGACCGCAGCACGCCUUUAUGGUCGGGGUUCGCCCACGUUCGUGCUUAGGAUGCUGGCGUAAUGGCUUUAAAUGACCCGUCUUGAAACACGGACCAAGGAGUCUAACAUGCCCGCGAGUGUUCGGGUGGAAAACCCGUGCGCGUAAUGAAAGUGAAAGUUGGGACCUCUGUCGUGGAGGGCACCGACGCCCGGACCAGACCUUCUGUGACGGAUCUGCGGUAGAGCGUGUAUGUUGGGACCCGAAAGAUGGUGAACUAUGCCUGAAUAGGGUGAAGCCAGAGGAAACUCUGGUGGAGGCUCGUAGCGAUUCUGACGUGCAAAUCGAUCGUCAAAUUUGGGUAUAGGGGCGAAAGACUAAAUCGAACCAUCUAGUAGCUGGGUUCCUGCGA